AUGAACCGGCAAUGGAUGUACGGUUCAAGACACACCUCCGAGUACAUUAAGGGCGUGCAUGAGUUUCUCAAAGUGGCUGAGGCAAACAAGCAGAAUGGUUUUAUGUGUUGUCCAUUCCCUAUAUGUGGGAAUACGAAGUCUUACUCUGACCGGAAAAUCCUUCACACCCACCUUCUUUACAAGGGUUUCAUGCCACACUAUAAUGUUUGGACGAGCCACGGAGAAAUAGGGGUUAUGAUGGAAGACGGCGAAGAAGAAAAGUACGAUGACAACUAUGUGCCCCCUGAAUACGGUGAUGCUACUGGAGAUCAAGAGGAACCAGACGAUGUGCACGAUGAUGCUGUAACAGGCGAAGCUGCUGAAGAUCAAGAGGAACCAGACGAUGUGCCCGAUGAUGAUGAUCUUCGCCGGGUCAUUGUCGAUGCAAGGACGCAAUGCGAAAGUCAAAAGGAGAAGCUGAAGUUC
RNAcentral lists this ribosomal RNA (465 nucleotides) under Triticum aestivum (bread wheat). RNAcentral describes it as "partial small subunit ribosomal RNA". The record is from RNAcentral. Lineage: Eukaryota; Viridiplantae; Streptophyta; Magnoliopsida; Poales; Poaceae.